UCUAAAAAAAAACUACAUACAAUGAAUUUCACAAAGGUUCUAAUAGUGAGACUUUUCAUUAUUAUGAUGAUUUCUGUAGCAAAUAACAAUGCUACUAAUGGAGAAAAAAUAUCUUGUGAAUGGAAGUGUAGACUUGCUUGUAUCUUCAAUCCUAUUUGCACAGACAUUUGUAUAAAGAAUUAUUGUCCACAUUCUAUUUCUUCUAAAGAAUUCAAUUGUAAACUUGCUUGUUUCAUUCAACAUUGCUACAAGUUUAAACAAGAUAAGGAGCUAAUGGGAAGGUGCUUGAAUGAAUGUUCAACAACAAAUUGCACCUAAUUAGAACUUCAUUUGCUAUAAUGCUAGUAUGCUACUUGUUUAUGUUGUCAAUGAAGUACUAAUUUUGAAUA
Long non-coding RNA from Solanum lycopersicum (tomato), 389 nucleotides. RefSeq lists it as uncharacterized. The record is from RefSeq and is a predicted model, not a curated record. NCBI's taxonomy places the organism in Eukaryota, Viridiplantae, Streptophyta, Magnoliopsida, Solanales, Solanaceae.